AGGACGAACGCUGGCGGCGUGCUUAACACAUGCAAGUCGAGCGGAAAGGCCCUUCGGGGUACUCGAGCGUCGAACGGGUGAGUAACACGUGAGCAAUCUGCCCCUAGCUCUGGGAUAGCUCCGGGAAACCGGGAUUAAUACCAGAUACAACCACUUUAGACAUCUUUUGUGGUGGAAAGGAUUCCGGCUAGGGAUGAGCUCGCGGCCUAUCAGCUUGUUGGUUGGGGUAACGCCCACCAAGGCGACGACGGGUA
Molecule: ribosomal RNA, 254 nt
Filed under: uncultured bacterium
Lineage: Bacteria
Description: partial small subunit ribosomal RNA
Rfam family: Bacterial small subunit ribosomal RNA
Source: RNAcentral